This 490-nucleotide ribosomal RNA is filed under the name uncultured bacterium. RNAcentral's name for it is "partial 16S ribosomal RNA". It matches the Rfam family "Bacterial small subunit ribosomal RNA", at positions 30 to 507 of the family's 1533-position model. The record is from RNAcentral.
AUUGAACGCUGGCGGCAGGCCUAACGCAUGCAAGUCGAACGGUAACAGGAAGCAGCUUGCUGCUUUGCUGACGAGUGGCGGACGGGUGAGUAAUGUCUGGGAAACUGCCUGAUGGAGGGGGAUAACUACUGGAAACGGUAGCUAAUACCGCAUAACGUCGCAAGACCAAAGAGGGGGACCUUCGGGCCUCUUGCCAUCGGAUGUGCCCAGAUGGGAUUAGCUAGUAGGUGGGGUAACGGCUCACCUAGGCGACGAUCCCUAGCUGGUCUGAGAGGAUGACCAGCCACACUGGAACUGAGACACGGUCCAGACUCCUACGGGAGGCAGCAGUGGGGAAUAUUGCACAAUGGGCGCAAGCCUGAUGCAGCCAUGCCGCGUGUAUGAAGAAGGCCUUCGGGUUGUAAAGUACUUUCAGCGGGGAGGAAGGGAGUAAAGUUAAUACCUUUGCUCAUUGACGUUACCCGCAGAAGAAGCACCGGCUAACUCCGUG